This 492-nucleotide ribosomal RNA is filed under the name uncultured bacterium. RNAcentral describes it as "partial 16S ribosomal RNA". It matches the Rfam family "Bacterial small subunit ribosomal RNA", at positions 28 to 507 of the family's 1533-position model. The record is from RNAcentral.
GAUGAACGCUAGCUACAGGCUUAACACAUGCAAGUCGAGGGGAAACGGCAUCGAAAGCUUGCUUUUGAUGGGCGUCGACCGGCGCACGGGUGAGUAACGCGUAUCCAACCUGCCCAUCACUUGGGAAUAACCUUGCGAAAGUAAGACUAAUGCCCAAUGACAUCCCACGAAGCCAUCCGAAUGGGAUUAAAGAUUUAUCGGUGAUGGAUGGGGAUGCGUCUGAUUAGCUUGUUGGCGGGGUGACGGCCCACCAAGGCAACGAUCAGUAGGGGUUCUGAGAGGAAGGUCCCCCACAUUGGAACUGAGACACGGUCCAAACUCCUACGGGAGGCAGCAGUGAGGAAUAUUGGUCAAUGGGCGAGAGCCUGAACCAGCCAAGUAGCGUGCAGGAUGACGGCCCUAUGGGUUGUAAACUGCUUUUAUAAGGGAAUAAAGUGGGUCACGUGUGACUUUUUGCAUGUACCUUAUGAAUAAGGACCGGCUAAUUCCGUG